UAAAGCUAAAGAGCCUCUAAGCCGUCGUACGCACUCCGAAAGCUCGAAAUCCAAUAAACGAAAGUAGCUUUAAUAUACUAACCUGACCCCACGAAAGCUAAGAAACAAACUGGGAUUAGAUACCCCACUAUGCUUAGCCCUAAACCAAGAUGUAAACUUACACACGCAUCCGCCCGGGUACUACGAGCUCAGCUUAAAACCCAAAGGACUUGGCGGUGUCUCAGACCCACCUAGAGGAGCCUGUUCUAGAACCGAUAAACCCCGAUAAACCUCACCACUUCUUGUUUUUCCCGCCUAUAUACCGCCGUCGUCAGCUUACCCCGUGAAGGCCUAAAAGUAAGCAAAAUUGGUGCACCCAAAAACGCCAGGUCAAGGUGUAGCGAAUGAAGUGGGAAGAAAUGGGCUACAUUUUCUACAAAGCAGAAUAUCACGAAUGACACCCUGAAACACAUGUCUGAAGGUGGAUUUAGUAGUAAAAAGAAAAUAGUGUGUCCUUUUGAAUUAGGCUCUGAGACGCGCACACACCGCCCGUCACUC
This 537-nucleotide ribosomal RNA is filed under the name Microglanis leptostriatus. RNAcentral describes it as "partial small subunit ribosomal RNA". It matches the Rfam family "Bacterial small subunit ribosomal RNA", at positions 657 to 1402 of the family's 1533-position model. The record is from RNAcentral. Lineage: Eukaryota; Metazoa; Chordata; Actinopteri; Siluriformes; Pseudopimelodidae.